GACGAACGCUGGCGGCGUGCUUAACACAUGCAAGUCGAACGGUGAAGCUCCAGCUUGCUGGAGUGGAUCAGUGGCGAACGGGUGAGUAACACGUGAGCAACCUGCCCCUGACUCUGGAAUAAGCGCUGGAAACGGCGUCUAAUACUGGAUACGAGAAGGGUCCGCAUGGGCACUUUCUGGAAAGUUUUUCGGUUGGGGAUGGGCUCGCGGCCUAUCAGCUUGUUGGUGAGGUAAUGGCUCACCAAGGCGACGACGGGUAGCCGGCCUGAGAGGGCGACCGGCCACACUGGGACUGAGACACGGCCCAGACUCCUACGGGAGGCAGCAGUGGGGAAUAUUGCACAAUGGGCGAAAGCCUGAUGCAGCGACGCCGCGUGAGGGAUGACGGCCUUCGGGUUGUAAACCUCUUUCAGCAGGGAGGAAGCGAAAGUGACGGUACCUGCAGAAGAAGCACCGGCUAACUACGUG
Molecule: ribosomal RNA, 468 nt
Filed under: uncultured bacterium
Lineage: Bacteria
Description: partial 16S ribosomal RNA
Rfam family: Bacterial small subunit ribosomal RNA
Source: RNAcentral